GCUUCCUCCUCCAAGGCAACUUCGCUCCGCUGUGGGCUCUUGGCUUUGACAUGGACUCUCCUGCGAGACAUUCAAGAUGAGGAAGCUGAGACACAGUGAAUUUAAGCAAUUUGGAUCAACACAGAAUGUCAAUUUGCUAUUUAUAGCUGUCAAGUAGACCAGCCUUUCUGUCCACCUGACCCAGGCCAUCUCACCCCAUGGGCACUAUGCCCUCAGUUGCUUACUGGGCAUGGAAUCAGAACAAGAGAAGUCGGCUACUAUCAAGGAGCUCUCAUCUUUGAUGGCAGUCUGUAUAAGUAGGUGUCAUAUCCCCUGUGGAAAUUCUGGAAGAUUCUCUGGUCUUGGCUCCAUCCUUGGAUAUUCUGGCUUGGGGCCCGGGGCAUCUGCAGAAGUGAUCCUAUUGGUGAGAAAGACUCAGGGGCCCACUCUUCUGUUCAUCUCCAACUAUUUACAUUAGUGGGACUUCUAUCCUCAAGGGCCUGGAAACUGUCUGAAACCAGCCAGCAGAGAGGAAGGAGAGCAGAGCAAAGAUGAGGAAACUGAGGCUCAGAAGCAGAAACUCAUUGGAGGUAGCAUUGCUAGUAGGUGAUGGAAUGAAGAUUAGACUCAAUUCUGUCUGAUUCUGAAGACGUUGCUCUUUCUACUUGAAAACAUUUUCUCUUGAUUCCGUGUAUGAACAGGAUGAUGGAAUGGAGGACAUGUGGGAGUGGAGACAGAGUUAAGGUUUUUUGUUUUAAAUUUGUAAAAUUUGUAUAUGGCAGUUGUUACUUAUAAUACAGGCAUCUCAAGUAUAACAAUAUAUAUGCAUUUCUGAAAAA
Long non-coding RNA from Pan troglodytes (chimpanzee), 818 nucleotides. RefSeq lists it as uncharacterized. The transcript is spliced from 4 exons. The record is from RefSeq and is a predicted model, not a curated record. Lineage: Eukaryota; Metazoa; Chordata; Mammalia; Primates; Hominidae.